This 1477-nucleotide ribosomal RNA is filed under the name metagenome. Its description in RNAcentral is "bacterial SSU rRNA". It matches the Rfam family "Bacterial small subunit ribosomal RNA". The record is from RNAcentral.
AGAGUUUGAUCCUGGCUCAGAAUGAACGCUGGCGGCAUGGAUUAGGCAUGCAAGUCGAACGGAGACCCCUGCUUCGGCGGGGCGAUCAGUGGCGAAAGGGUGAGUAACACGUGAGUAACCUGCCCCCGAGUUCGGAAUAGCCCCGGGAAACCGGGAUUAAUACCGGAUAUGGUUGGUCAUCCGCAUGGUUGACCGUACUAAAGAUUCAUCGUUCGGGGAUGGGCUCGCGCCCGAUUAGCUUGUUGGUGAGGUAACGGCUCACCAAGGCUAUGACAGGUAGCUGGUCUGAGAGGAUGGUCAGCCACACUGGGACUGAGACACUGCCCAGACUCCUACGGGAGGCUGCAGUCGAGAAUCGUCCGCAAUGGGCGAAAGCCUGACGGUGCAAUGCCGCGUGAGGGACGACGGCCUUCGGGUUGUAAACCUCUGUCAGGAGGGACGAAGAAUGUGAUGGUACCUCCAGAGGAAGCCACGGCUAACUACGUGCCAGCAGCCGCGGUAAUACGUAGGUGGCGAGCGUUAUUCGGAUUUACUGGGCGUAAAGGGUCCGCAGGGGGUUUGCCAAGUCUGAUGUGAAAUCCCGAAGCUCAACUUCGGAACUGCAUUGGAUACUGGUGAACUAGAGUUCACGAGGGGUGAGAAAUUCCCGGUGUAGCGGUGGAAUGCGUAGAUAUCGGGAAGAACUCCGAUGGCGAAGGCGGCUCACUGGCGUUGAACUGACCCUCAUGGACGAAAGCGUGGGGAGCGAACAGGAUUAGAUACCCUGGUAGUCCACGCUGUAAACGUUGUGCACUAGAUGUGGGUGGAUUUGAUCCCAUUCGUGUCCAAGCUAACGCGUUAAGUGCACCGCCUGGGGACUACGGCCUCAAGGCUAAAACUCAAAGGAAUUGACGGGGGCCCGCACAAGCGGUGGAGCAUGUGGCUCAAUUCGAGGCAACGCGAAGAACCUUACCUGGGUUUGACAUGUACCGGACCGGCCGCGAAAGCGGUCUUCUCUUCGGAGUCGGUACACAGGUGCUGCAUGGCUGUCGUCAGCUCGUGUCGUGAGAUGUUCGGUUAAGUCCGGCAACGAGCGCAACCCGUGUCGUCAGUUACCAGCGGAUAAUGCCGGGGACUCUGGCGAGACUGCCUGUGUCAAGCAGGAGGAAGGCGCGGAUGACGUCAAGUCCGUAUGGCCCUUACGUCCAGGGCUGCACACGUGCUACAAUGGGCGGUACAAUGAGAUGCGAAACUGCGAGGUGGAGCAAAUCUGCAAAACCGUCCUCAGUUCGGAUUGGAGUCUGCAACUCGACUCCAUGAAGUUGGAAUCGCUAGUAAAGGCGUAUCAGCAACGGCGCCUUGAAUACGUUCCCGGGCCUUGUACACACCGCCCGUCACAUCAUGGGAGCUGGCUGCACCCGAAGUCCGUGAUCCAACCCCUCGGGGAGGAAGCGGCCGAAGGGGUGUCCAGUGACUGGGAUGAAGUCGUAACAAGGUA